Molecule: long non-coding RNA, 261 nt
Filed under: Homo sapiens (human)
Lineage: Eukaryota; Metazoa; Chordata; Mammalia; Primates; Hominidae
Description: HSALNT0015676
Source: RNAcentral
UGCGCCUGUCCCUGGUGUCCCUUUCCUCUUUUUUGGUUUCUUCACUCUGACCUCACUGACCACUGCUUUAGAUUCUCCCUUCAGUUCCCGUCAGACGCUUCCAGACUCCCAAGCUUUCCUACGAAUGAGGGAAAAUGGAGAAACAGGCACUUGUCAGGGGACCCCCCACCCUAAUAAAGAGCACUUGCUCCGCCAGAACAGCAAAAUUCAUGCCAUGUGGGCAUCCCUGGGCACUAUAGCAAGCUAGUUGCGGCCACUCCC